This 547-nucleotide ribosomal RNA is filed under the name uncultured bacterium. Its description in RNAcentral is "bacterial SSU rRNA". It matches the Rfam family "Bacterial small subunit ribosomal RNA", at positions 776 to 1324 of the family's 1533-position model. The record is from RNAcentral.
AAAUAGAUACCCGGGUAGUCCACCCGUAAACGUUGGGAACUAGUUGUGGGUCCUUUCCACGGAUUCCGUGACGCAGCUAACGCAUUAAGUUCCCCGCCUGGGGAGUACGGCCGCAAGGCUAAAACUCAAAGGAAUUGACGGGGACCCGCACAAGCGGCGGAGCAUGCGGAUUAAUUCGAUGCAACGCGAAGAACCUUACCAAGGCUUGACAUACACGAGAACACCCUGGAAACAGGGGACUCUUUGGACACUCGUGAACAGGUGGUGCAUGGUUGUCGUCAGCUCGUGUCGUGAGAUGUUGGGUUAAGUCCCGCAACGAGCGCAACCCUCGUUCUAUGUUGCCAGCACGUAAUGGUGGGAACUCAUGGGAUACUGCCGGGGUCAACUCGGAGGAAGGUGGGGAUGACGUCAAAUCAUCAUGCCCCUUAUGUCUUGGGCUUCACGCAUGCUACAAUGGCCGGUACAAAGGGCUGCAAUACCGUGAGGUGGAGCGAAUCCCAAAAGCCGGUCCCAGUUCGGAUUGAGGUCUGCAACUCGACCUCAUGAA